GGCUCCAUAGUGUAAUGGUCAGCACGUCUGCUUUACACGCAGAAGGUCCUGGGUUCGUGCCGCAGGUGGAGCCA
This 74-nucleotide transfer RNA is filed under the name Pteropus alecto (black flying fox). It matches the Rfam family "tRNA". Rfam says of the family: Transfer RNA (tRNA) molecules are approximately 80 nucleotides in length. Their secondary structure includes four short double-helical elements and three loops (D, anti-codon, and T loops). Lineage: Eukaryota; Metazoa; Chordata; Mammalia; Chiroptera; Pteropodidae. The record is from Rfam by way of RNAcentral.